AAAGUCGUAACAAGGUCUCCGUAGGUGAACCUGCGGAGGGAUCAUUGACGAAUGGCCUCCGUGCCUUCGAACCCCUCCAACCUCGUGGAACAGAGCCAGAUGUGCUUCGGCGACCCCUCCCGAAAGGUCGGGGCGCCGCUUUCAUGCAGUACCCGAAGCCUUUAUGUCCGAGAAUGAACCAUAUGGAAUCAAAACUUUCAACAAAGGAUCUCUUGGCUCUC
RNAcentral lists this unclassified non-coding RNA (221 nucleotides) under Ascomycota sp. RNAcentral describes it as "partial contains small subunit ribosomal RNA, internal transcribed spacer 1, and 5.8S ribosomal RNA". The stretch from base 1 to 47 matches the Rfam family "Eukaryotic small subunit ribosomal RNA", at positions 1785 to 1831 of the family's 1831-position model. Lineage: Eukaryota; Fungi; Ascomycota. The record is from RNAcentral.